RNAcentral lists this ribosomal RNA (193 nucleotides) under uncultured bacterium. RNAcentral's name for it is "partial 16S ribosomal RNA". It matches the Rfam family "Bacterial small subunit ribosomal RNA", at positions 338 to 523 of the family's 1533-position model. The record is from RNAcentral.
CCUACGGGAGGCAGCAGUGGGGAAUAUUGCACAAUGGGGGAAACCCUGAUGCAGCCAUGCCGCGUGUGUGAAGAAGGCUCUAGGGUUGUAAAGCACUUUCAGUGGGGAGGAAAAGUUAGUCGUUAAUAGCGGCUAACCGUGACGUUACCCACAGAAGAAGGACCGGCUAACUCCGUGCCAGCAGCCGCGGUAA